Long non-coding RNA from Mustela erminea (ermine), 3750 nucleotides. RefSeq lists it as uncharacterized. The record is from RefSeq and is a predicted model, not a curated record. NCBI's taxonomy places the organism in Eukaryota, Metazoa, Chordata, Mammalia, Carnivora, Mustelidae. The transcript is spliced from 5 exons.
CAUUCAAGGGCGGGGGAGGCAAGAGAAGGUCAUAAACAGAGAAGUGUUAAAGGGUGUGGGCUGUUCUGGGAAUGGUGAUGUAAACUCAGUGCCAUCGGGUCCUGGGACUUGGAGGGUGGUGACUGGAUGCUAGAGGGGUUGUGGGUCAUUCUGAGAAGCCUGACUUGGAGCAUGGGCUGAAGAGACUACAUAAAUUUUUACAAUAUAUGUAGUGUGUGUGUGUGCGUGCGUGUGCGUGUGCGUGUGUCAGAGAGAGAGAUGGUGGGGGGCGGUUUGCAGACAACCUCAACUGUAGACGAGGGCGGGUCAUACACUGGAGAGGUCGAUACUUAAAGCCGGGAGAUCAUUUACGAAGCGAUUGCAAGGCAGCAGGUGCAAGACAAGAUCUAGUCGGAGCCGGUGAUGGCCCCGUGGCAGGAGGCAGCCGGAUGUGAGGGCCACCGGCACAACUGAGUGAGUGUUAAAUGCGGGGAGUAAGAGGAAAUUGGCAACCGAGGAUACUUUUAAGAUUUUUAUUUAGGGAAAGUGAGUGGAAAGCGAGAGCUGGAGAAUACAAGGAGGAGAAGCAGUUUGAGGGACGGAAGGAUGACAUGAGGACCAGCCCCACAUCCCACCCCCAGUCACUCAGGAGUCCACUGGAAACGCUGAGACUUAGACUCCGCCCCGGAACUUCGGAACCGGAAGCUGCUGUUAACAAGAUGCCCAGGUCAUUUCGGUGCACGUUACAGUUUCUGUGGCUUUGGUACCGUGAGUUCUCAGGGCUGAAUCUGGGGACAAUCCUAAAUUAGACCCCUAGGGCCACAAGGAGAGAGACUGCUGAUGUUCUGAGUGACAGUUGAGUUCCCAGACACAAGGGAGACAUAUUUCUGGGAGUGAGCAAGUGUCCUUUGUAUAAGUGGCUGCCUCCCGCCCAAGGCUGUGGGUGAAUCAGAGCAUGUGAUUUAGUGGAUGAAGGACAUAUAUUUAGAAAGAAAAUGAUUGCCAAAAGAAAGGCGGGUAGGAAGAAAUAAUAUUACUCAUAUCUGUUUUUCAUUAUAAAAUAAUAUUGCUGUUUUGCAUGCUUUCUAGAUUCCUUAGGGUAUUUUCUUGCCACUUGGAGCUUUUUUUUUUUCUUUUUUCUUUUUUCUUUUCACAUAUUUAGAAGCUAUUUAAUAGAAACGUUACUGCAUGGGAUCAAAAAUAUUUUUCUCACAGAAUGUUCCCAUUCAAUAAGUUGCCACAUACUUGUGUUCCAUAUGGUGCUUCAUAAACUAACAGUGUCUGUAGGUAAUGCAGUUGGCAUAGCAGCAGAGGGGAGAGUUAUGUUUCAAGCAGCUAUAUCAAUCCAUGUCCAAGGAUUUUUUUUGUUUUGUUUUAAACAAAAGAUAACUGAUGCUUAAUUAAAACAAAACAUAACAAAAUAUGUACUGUUAAAGAGUAGUUCAAGCUAAAUUUCUUAAAAAAAAAAAAAGCCGAAAAAGUAAAUUCAUUUAUUUAUUUCAUUCAUUCAUCAAGCAUUUACUGAUAUUUUACUGGAGAUACAGAGAUGAAUGAAAAAAUUGUCCAUGGCAUGAAGAAAUGUCCCCUCUAGUGGAAGAAGUAGGAAGAAGACCCCACAGGGUGAUGAGAGCUUUCAGAGACUAGGUGUGGGUUCCCUGGGACCAUAUGUAGGGGUUCUUAGGGAACCUGAUAGGUGGAGUAGGAUCUGAGGGAGGUCUUCCCAGAAAAUGUGACCCCUAAGUAGAAACCUUUAAAAAGCAAGCCAGAAAGCUACUCCUUCAUCUCCAGGUCUCUGCUCUGUAUCAGAGAAGUCCUCAUUGACCAUCUGUAUUAAGAGCAGUUAACAGUCAUCCCAAACCCCAGCCUUUCCUAUCCUUUUACUUGGCUUCAUUUGCUCCACUGCAUUUAUUACCAUCUGUGGUAGCCAGCCUCCAAGACAACCCCCGAAAUCUCUGCAUCUGUGAUAUUCUUGUCAUUGUGUACUUUAUCAGGGUCGGGGCAAUAGAAUAUCACAGAAUCAGUGGGAGAUCACUUCCAAGAUUAGAGUAUUAAAGAUACUGUGGCUUCCAUCUUACUCACUCUCUCUUUCUCUUGGAUCACUCACUCCAGGAAAGCUACCUCCCAAGUUGUAAGCACCUCGUGGAGAGUUCCACAUGGUGACAAACAUGGUGAGAAGGUAUGGAAGCAGAUCUCCCCCAAGUCAGGCAAAUCUUCAGAUGAGACCACGACCCUCCUGACAACUUGACUGCAGCCUCAAGACAGACCAUAAGCCAGAACUGUGCAACUACUCUGCUCCCAGAUUUCUGACUCUCAGAAACUUGCGGAGGAAGUUAAUCAGGAAAGUUUUCGCCAUGUUCUACUAUUUGGAAACAAUCAGUGACUCUCCAGCACCCACAGGAAAAAAUUCAUGUCUGUAACUAUCAGAUAUGCAGAGGAAAACCCUUUCCCUGAAGAUAUUUGCAGUCAAGGAAACAAACUCAUGACAUAGUGAUUCAAUUUACUUGUUAUUGGAGGAAAGACAGAAGAUUAAUUCUAUAAAUCUGAAAGUGUCUGGAUUUUUUUUUUUUUCUUUUCAAAAUUUGACUUAAAAUGUGAGACUUCAGCUGUGGAAGUUGUGUUGCCUCUCCCACAGUACAAUGGGCCAUUGUUCGAAGAGAUAAGUCCACCUUCAGGGUGACAGUCUCAGAAAAGCUUAUGAGCAAACAAUCCUUCUGUUUUGCUUAUGUUUUUCCAUCUAUUACAAUUGGAACCACAUGGAAUGCUGAUUAUUCAAUUUUCAGAAUCAUGCUUAUUAUAUUUUCCAUCUCAUUCCAGAAUUCAUUGAAUCUGAGACCCAACCGUAAUACACAGAAGCAAUUGCUCUUGUUUUCUCCCAUUAAUGCAAGCAUUUGUUAUUCCCCCGUUCCAGUUCCUAAAAUAACAUUUUCAUUAAUAGGAUCUUUAAAUCUGAAUCCAGAAUGACUGACGGUCUCUGAAAGCAAUAUAGAGAGAUAGCCAUUCACUCUGACAGGACUAAGAGAAGAAAAGUUUACAAUAAAGAGAAGCUUCUGACCUACCAGCGCAAAACAACUGGGUCAAAUGGGCUACAAGGAUUGUUUAAUACCAAGCCCUUUCCCAAAGAAGAUAUGGAGCCACAGCCUCCCUAGGUCUUAAAAUCUUGAUUAAAGGGCCUGCGGGAUUCAUCAUGCACAGAAGGUCUUAGUAAUGAGGGUCUGCUGUAAUCUGGAAAGAUCCCCCCACACCAUCCUCAUCUUUGCACCCAUGCCCUCUUUCAGAAUAAAGAGGUCAAAGAGCGACAACUCAAGUAAGACAAAACAAACAACAAAAAUUUCACAUAUUAAAGAAGAAGAACAAAUUUGUCUUAUAUACUCUGGAUUUGAUGGACAUUUAGCAUAACUGACAUGUUUUUCAUGUAAUAUAAGGCAAAAUUAAUUUUUUGACUGAUGGCAUAAAAGUGUUAUGAAAUAAAGGUUAAGAAUAUGUUCUUGACCGUUGAGCAAAUCUGGUUUUGAAACAGGUCCUGUCCCUAAUUAGCUUGGUGAUCUUGGGCAUGUCCCAUCAACACACUGGCCCACUAGCCUUGAAGUCCUCAUGUCUGUUGUGGGGAUAGAGGUCCUAGCAAGGGAGCUGCUUGGUGCUAAGAGCCCCUAUGACCCAAGACUCUGUGAUGCUUGUGUCACUGGGAUUGCACAGUGUCCACACUAGCUCAGGUCUAGAAGUUACUUGUCAGCCACAGCCAUUAAAGGUGGUGGUGAAGACAGGUGUUAAAAU